Molecule: ribosomal RNA, 434 nt
Filed under: uncultured Salmonella sp.
Lineage: Bacteria; Pseudomonadati; Pseudomonadota; Gammaproteobacteria; Enterobacterales; Enterobacteriaceae
Description: bacterial SSU rRNA
Rfam family: Bacterial small subunit ribosomal RNA
Source: RNAcentral
AACGCGAAGAACCUUACCUGGUCUUGACAUCCACAGAAUCUUGUAGAGAUACGAGGGUGCCUUCGGGAACUGUGAGACAGGUGCUGCAUGGCUGUCGUCAGCUCGUGUUGUGAAAUGUUGGGUUAAGUCCCGCAACGAGCGCAACCCUUAUCCUUUGUUGCCAGCGGUCCGGCCGGGAACUCAAAGGAGACUGCCAGUGAUAAACUGGAGGAAGGUGGGGAUGACGUCAAGUCAUCAUGGCCCUUACGACCAGGGCUACACACGUGCUACAAUGGCGCAUACAAAGAGAAGCGACCUCGCGAGAGCAAGCGGACCUCAUAAAGUGCGUCGUAGUCCGGAUUGGAGUCUGCAACUCGACUCCAUGAAGUCGGAAUCGCUAGUAAUCGUGGAUCAGAAUGCCACGGUGAAUACGUUCCCGGGUCUUGUACACACGC